Molecule: ribosomal RNA, 512 nt
Filed under: uncultured bacterium
Lineage: Bacteria
Description: bacterial SSU rRNA
Rfam family: Bacterial small subunit ribosomal RNA
Source: RNAcentral
AGAGUUUGAUUAUGGCUCAGGAUGAACGCUAGCUACAGGCUUAACACAUGCAAGUCGAGGGUAGCAGGGUAGCAAUACCGCCGACGACCGGCGCACGGGUGAGUAACACGUAUCCAACCUUCCCAUAACUCAGGGAUAGCCUUUCGAAAGAAAGAUUAAUACCUGAUAGUACUUUUUCAAGGCAUCUUGAGAAGUUAAAGAUUUAUUGGUUAUGGAUGGGGAUGCGUUCCAUUAGAUAGUUGGUGAGGUAACGGCUCACCAAGUCUUCGAUGGAUAGGGGUUCUGAGAGGAAGGUCCCCCACAUUGGUACUGAGACACGGACCAAACUCCUACGGGAGGCAGCAGUGAGGAAUAUUGGUCAAUGGGCGAGAGCCUGAACCAGCCAAGUAGCGUGAAGGAUGAAAGGUCCUAUGGAUUGUAAACUUCUUUUAUAGUAGAAUAAAGUGAUCCACGUGUGGAUUUUUGUAUGUAUACUAUGAAUAAGGAUCGGCUAACUCCGUGCCAGCAGCUGC